UUUGUAGAAAGCAGUAUUUGCUGUAAGAUGAUUAUUCACCUGUAGUAAGUCAUCCAAAAGGCCAUUACAAGAAAGAGCACAUCCUCAAGCUCCCUCUGUAUUUCUAAUAACAUGAGAAUUGCGUCCGACGUGAGAGGAUGCUGCAUAUGCUGCAAUCUUAGAGGUGAACUGUGCAGGCUGGGAAGCACACAGAGCCACAGCUGAGGAGAGGAAGCCACACCAAGGACACAUGUACGAGAGUGAAAGACGCAGCUACGAUGACCAGCAACCCAUAGGACACGUCUGAGAUCAGACAUCGCAGAAGCACUUCCGUUUUGAGAAUCCCUGGUUUCUUUGCUUCCAUCCUGACUGUCUCGAUGUUCCCUGUCAGGACAGGUUCCAACCAUCUCCGUGCUUUUCCAGUUUGGCAGUCAGACUGGGUCGCUGGGUUCCUGUCUUCGAAGAAGAAAACAACAAUAACAGCAACAACAACAAAACAAUUUCCUUUUUUAGCUUUGGAUGACCACUUGCUGCCUCUGAAAUUCCUGUUCUCUGUCUCAUUCUCCUGCACCCAUUGUUUCUCCAUUGAGUUCCUCCCAUCCCUGUGAACACAUAUAAAAACCCCAAAUGUAAAACACACUUUACCUGACCCUGAGAUUUCGUUUAAAAUACUACUCUUCUCCUUAUUCAUCAUGUACCUCAUCCAAAGAUCCAAGUACAUUUGGCUUUCUUUGCU
This 715-nucleotide long non-coding RNA is filed under the name Vulpes vulpes (red fox). Its description in RNAcentral is "lncRNA (ENSVVUG00000004291.1)". The record is from RNAcentral. Lineage: Eukaryota; Metazoa; Chordata; Mammalia; Carnivora; Canidae.